GUGCCUUAAACUAAUGAGUAAGGAAAAUUUACGAGCCUUGGUGACGCUUGGCUUUUGCAGUCCAUGAACUGUUAACUAAUUUUUGGGGGGGUAUAGGUCGUCCCCUUGAAGGAUUUGCCUACUUUGCAAAUCUUUCGGGUGAUAGCGAUCUGCCCC
Molecule: small nuclear RNA, 156 nt
Organism: Daktulosphaira vitifoliae (grape phylloxera)
Lineage: Eukaryota; Metazoa; Arthropoda; Insecta; Hemiptera; Phylloxeridae
Product: U12 minor spliceosomal RNA
Exons: 1
Source: RefSeq, a predicted model, not a curated record